AAACCGUGGUGAGGGCAUCUUCUCAAUAAAUCCUUAUACCUCUCCCAUGCAUCAUAUAAUGUCUCUAAAUUGACUUGCACAAAGGAAGAGAUGUAGAUCCUCAACUU
Non-coding RNA from Gossypium arboreum, 107 nucleotides. The record is from Rfam. Lineage: Eukaryota; Viridiplantae; Streptophyta; Magnoliopsida; Malvales; Malvaceae.